RNAcentral lists this ribosomal RNA (785 nucleotides) under Flapocephalus sp. n. 1 AW-2016. RNAcentral's name for it is "partial 16S ribosomal RNA". The stretch from base 557 to 785 matches the Rfam family "Bacterial large subunit ribosomal RNA", at positions 2045 to 2566 of the family's 2925-position model. The record is from RNAcentral. Lineage: Eukaryota; Metazoa; Platyhelminthes; Cestoda; Lecanicephalidea; Lecanicephalidae.
UACAAUAAAUAAGUUUUUUGACCGAAAGCAUUUGAUUUUAUCUUUAAUUGAGUAUUUUGAGCUCAUAAGUUUGUCAGGUAGAUUGUACCAAAAUUAUUUUUAUGUUGUGAUAAAUUAUUCGGAAUUGCUUAUAUCUGUUUAGUAGGUUCCUUUUUUGCUAUAAUUUGUUAGCUACGAUGUUAACAAGUAAAAAAUACCUUGUCUUUUUUUAGCUACCAAAGGGUUAAAAUUACCCAAUGUUUAUAAUAGUUUUACAACUUUUGUUAUUUAGAUGAUAGGUUUUAUUUAGUACCUACUAUUAUUUUAAUAUCUAGAAUAUUUUAUGAUUGAAUAAGUAAUUGUAAUAUUGACUUUGAUUCUCAAGAAUUGCCUGUCUGUUUAUUAAAAACAUUUCGGCUCAAAAAUUAUUAGUAGUAGUGCCUGCUCUAUGCUUUGAGUAAAUGGCCGCAGUAUCUUGACUGUGCGAAGGUAGCAUAAUUAAUUGCCUUAUAAUUGAAGGCUUGUUUGAAUGGUUUGACAAGGUAAUUUCUAACAUGGUUUAUAUAUUUGAAUUUAUUAAUGGGGGCACAGAAACCCCUAGGUUUAAUUAGACGGAAAGACCCCGGGAUCUUUUAUUUUUGUCUGGGGCAGAUCGUAGUUUUUCACUUAUGAUUAUGACCCUAAUGGUGCAUUGGUGUAAGUUACCCCGGGGAUAACAGUGUAAUAGUGCACUAGAGAUCAUAUCGAAUGCAUUGCUUGCCACCUCGAUGUUGACUUAGGCUUUAAGUUUUGGCGCAGUAGUUUAA